CCUACGGGUGGCUGCAGUGGGGAAUCUUCCGCAAUGGGCGAAAGCCUGACGGAGCAACGCCGCGUGAUCGAAUGAAGGCCUUCGGGUUGUAAAGAUCUGUUGACAGGGACGAAUAAGCAAUGCGAAUAGUUUUGUGUAUGACGGUACCUGUUUAGAAAGCUCCGGCUAACUACGUGCCAGCAGCCGCGGUAAUACGUAGGGAGCAAGCGUUGUCCGGAUUUACUGGGUGUAAAGGGAGCGUAGACGGCAGCGCAAGUCUGGAGUGAAAUCCCAUGGCUUAACCAUGGAACUGCUUUGGAAACUGUGCAGCUGGAGUGCAGGAGAGGUAAGCGGAAUUCCUAGUGUAGCGGUGAAAUGCGUAGAUAUUAGGAGGAACACCAGUGGCGAAGGCGGCUUACUGGACUGUAACUGACGUUGAGGCUCGGAAGCGUGGGGAGCAAACAGGAUUAGAUACCCCAGUAGUC
RNAcentral lists this ribosomal RNA (464 nucleotides) under uncultured bacterium. Its description in RNAcentral is "partial 16S ribosomal RNA". It matches the Rfam family "Bacterial small subunit ribosomal RNA", at positions 338 to 795 of the family's 1533-position model. The record is from RNAcentral.